Transfer RNA from Gossypium raimondii (Peruvian cotton), 72 nucleotides. It matches the Rfam family "tRNA". From Rfam's summary of the family: Transfer RNA (tRNA) molecules are approximately 80 nucleotides in length. Their secondary structure includes four short double-helical elements and three loops (D, anti-codon, and T loops). The record is from Rfam. NCBI's taxonomy places the organism in Eukaryota, Viridiplantae, Streptophyta, Magnoliopsida, Malvales, Malvaceae.
GUGAGGAUAGCUCAUUGGGAGAGCGUCAGAAUGAAGAUCUGAAGAUCAUGUGUUCGGUCCACGUUCAUCACA